This 252-nucleotide ribosomal RNA is filed under the name uncultured bacterium. Its description in RNAcentral is "partial 16S ribosomal RNA". It matches the Rfam family "Bacterial small subunit ribosomal RNA", at positions 524 to 776 of the family's 1533-position model. The record is from RNAcentral.
UACGUAGGGUGCAAGCGUUGUCCGGAAUUAUUGGGCGUAAAGAGCUCGUAGGCGGUCUGUCGCGUCUGCUGUGAAAACUCAGGGCUUAACCCUGAGCUUGCAGUGGGUACGGGCAGACUAGAGUGCGGUAGGGGAGACUGGAAUUCCUGGUGUAGCGGUGAAAUGCGCAGAUAUCAGGAGGACCACCGGUGGCGAGGGCGGGUCUCUGGGCCGUAACUAGCGCUGAGGAGCGAAAGCAUGGGAGCGAACAGG